This is a long non-coding RNA of Lontra canadensis (Northern American river otter), 248 nucleotides long. RefSeq lists it as uncharacterized. NCBI's taxonomy places the organism in Eukaryota, Metazoa, Chordata, Mammalia, Carnivora, Mustelidae. The transcript has 3 exons. The record is from RefSeq and is a predicted model, not a curated record.
GGGGGGGCGUGGGUGAGGCGGGAGGGGCGGCUCGCGGGUCACCGCGGAGAUGGCCGUGACGUCACACAGGUCCGGCCCGCAGACCCCCUUCGGGGCUCGGCGACGAUCACUCCGGGGACAAAAUGGACAUGCUAUUCAGAAGAACUUUGUGAUCUGAUGGAUUCUGAUGCAAGCCCAGGGGCUUUGGAAAGGCUGACUCACGGAUCCAAGAACAGCGUCUCCCCUGACGGCCCCGUCUUGGAAGCUUU